This 107-nucleotide small nuclear RNA is filed under the name Carlito syrichta (Philippine tarsier). Lineage: Eukaryota; Metazoa; Chordata; Mammalia; Primates; Tarsiidae. The record is from RNAcentral.
GUACUCACUUUGGCAACACAUAUACUAAAAUUGGAAUGAUACAGAGAAGAUUAGCAUAGCCCCUGUGCAAGGAUGACAUGCAAAUUUGUGAAGCGUUCCAUAAUUUU